Molecule: small RNA, 3416 nt
Filed under: Pan troglodytes (chimpanzee)
Lineage: Eukaryota; Metazoa; Chordata; Mammalia; Primates; Hominidae
Description: processed transcript
Source: RNAcentral
AGCUGCUUUGAGGACAGGGAGCUGAGGUUGCCAAAUUUACAGCUGCCUUGCACAAUUACUCUUACACCUCCUUCAGGGCUACUUAGAACCACCAUAACACAAAGACAACAUCAUGGCUGGAUCCACGACUUGCGAAAAAGGCUAAACCUCCAGAAGAGUGCAAAGAAAAUGAGGAAGCAGGUUUUAUUGAUGGGUUGUCUCCUGAAACCAGAAAGACUAUGUACUCUAUUCCAGUUACCCCCAUGCCUCCAGGACCACAUGUUGUUCCACUUGAGGGGAGGAUAAAAAUUGCCUCUUGAUUUUCCAAAGCCCAGUCUUUCCCUUCCCUGUGCAGCCUUAGAAACUCCGUAGCAAUGCUGUUUGGUAUUUUGGCUUUUUUUUUUUUCCCCGUCCUGCUGCAGCUACUUCGUGUCAACUAGAGGUGGAAGGUGUCCCGGGAAGCAGUUAGAUGAGUUAAGUGUGAUACACAGGAGAACAGGACCGUAGCCUAUCAAAAGUCCCUCUGCCCUGCCUCAGUGUAUUGGUCCUUCGUUGGUUACAUUUCUCUUUGUGCUGGAAUACCCUCUUCUGAAUCAGAUCAGGGAUUUCCACUGUCAGCCAUGGACCCGGCCCCAGAGCCAUGAAAUGAGCUAGUUCAAAUUUGGGUACGUUACUGGCCCACAAAGAUUUGAAAUGAUCUGUCAGGCAAUUUUGCCACCUCUGUACAUCUUUGCUGUCUUUCUGUCGAGCUCAGGGACAGCAAUUUCUAGGGCAGUAGUAAGAUACAUGAUAGGAACUUCAAACUUGACGUCAAACUCACAUUUCAGGAGGCCAUGGAUAUACCAACAUUUUCCAAACCACCGAGUCCCUACCUUGCUGGACUCCAGUUGGAACCAUCGUUGUCGCCAUUGUUGUUGUUCUCCACAUACCAGAUAAUUGACUGAUAUUCCUCUUUCAAUCACUGUACCCACAACUCCCAAUCUUGGGGUCCUGCAUUAGUCUUCAGUGCCAGAGUCUCAGACACAACAUGUCAGGUGGCCUCAUCUGCCAUCUUGGGCCAGGGCGAGUUUUGUAUACUUUCACAUAACAAAAUAUUCUUCUUCUUUUGAUUUUUCCUCAACUACUCGAAAAUGUGUAAACUGUUCUUAGCCCACUGGCCACACAAAAAUUGGGGCGGGCUGAAUUUGAUCCACAGGACAAACCCUAUCCUACCAUGUUUGUGUGGGACUCUACUCUUGGCAGGUCUUGAACACCAAUAUUUUUAAAUAUUUUUCUUCUCAGGAUUGCCAGACUCCCAAAACUCGGAGGUGGUUUUCAGGAGAUUUAGCUUAACUCUUUUGCCUCUAGAUCCUGCAGCUCCAGAAUUGACAAAUGUCAGGAGAUAACUGACUGACUGUUUGAAAUCUCUCAUAUCUAUGUUUGUCACUCCAGUCCCUCAAGAUUCCUCACUCUUUCGGUUUCUUUAAUGUCCAGCAGCGGCCUUCUUCCCAGGCCAAGUCUAUACUGUUCUAAGAGCCCAGACACAACAAGAGCAGCUGCAAAUUCUUCCUUCACCUCUCCAGGGUUCCCUCUUGAGAAUCUUAGACCUUCUAGACCAUGCUGCUUCAGCUAGUUUCUGAUUUCUUUAAACUGCUUAUUUUUUUACAUUUUAUCUAGACUUUCUGUUUUCUCAUGUCUAAUAAGCUACUCCAUCCUAUCUGGUAGCAGAAAUUUUAGUGCAGCAAUUUUAAAAUUGUACAUUUUGGAUGUUACUGGGCUGGAUGUCAUAAAAUCUUUACUGUUAUCCUAAUUUAUAUUUUAAUAACUGAAGAUUAUAUAUUAUUUUGUCAUAUAUGUGUUCUUACUAUUUAUGAAUGUAUGGAGGUAUGUAGUGUAUGUGUAGAUAUGUAUCUGGAAAUGUUUGCACCUUCAGAUCUGUUUACAUAAAUGAGUAAAGUUAAUUCCUGUUAAAUUAAUAUAAGAGGAAUACAAGUGAAAGAGAGAUGAGAGGGGAUACUAACUAGACUAGAGAAAAAACUAACAAAAGUUUUCUCAUUGGUAUUAAGGAGAAACAAGACAUGGAUGGCUCAGUACAAAUAUAUAUUAAACAAGCACUUAUUCUACUGACAGUAAAGCAAUCAUUUUGCCUUUUUACUUAAAGGAUAAUACUGCUACUAAACAUAAAAACAUACUUCCUUCUCUCACAAUAGGGUUGGAAAUACUGAAGUCAUUAUGUUCUGUGCAUUUGUCAUAGCUCUGUACACUUUUGGAGUUUUAGCAGCAGUCUACAUGGCAGAAAAAAAUGUCUCCACCUACUACUGGAUUCUAAUAUUAGUAUUUGGGGGAGUGCUGUUUAGCAAGCCAAUAUAGUCUUUUUUAAAAUGCCACAGAAACAGCAGUUAACCACUAAAUAACUUGGAUGCAAGAUUGGUUAAAGUGUGUAUAAAGCCCCAUCAUAUUUCUCCUCUCAGAGUCGGUAAUAUGGGAUCCUCCUGAGAUAUUUUCAAUCACAAGCAUUUCUGUGCUGACAUCCCAUGAGCAUUGCUGGGUUAGAAUCCAUAUCAAAAGUGAAUUAAGCCUUGUAGGACCAUUCUUUUCUUAAAGUUGAAAUGUUAUUAAACCCAGUAGGAUCACACUAUAAUGUACAGGAGAAGAAAUUGUUAAAGAUUUGGAGUCAGGAAAAACUGUUCCAAACCCUAAUCUGUGGGUUCUUGGGCAAGGUCCUUAAUCUCUGGGAGCCCAGAUUUUCUUACCUGUAAAUGGGAGUUGUACCUCUUUCAUGCAGAUUUACCUUCACAUGUUGGAAGCACAAUGACUAGCACCAUAAAUUCUAAAUAACUGCUCAUUUUCUUUCCUUCAGGUAGAACUCUGAGCCAGCAAAUGAGCCCUAUAGAAGAUGACUGGGAAAAAAUUCAGAAUAGUUAUCCUACCUUAACAACUUUGAAUGACUAUAGAAUGUCCUGGCAAAAUGGAAAUGAACAAAUCCAUAUAGGCUAAAAUUAUCCAUCUAGCUUAUUCCAGCCUGAGAGUAAUACACUGGGGGGUUUCCCCCUUCAACCUGUUAAGUUGUCUCUAAAUUUUCAUGAAGUUAUAUCUGCAUGAACUGGGUGGCUUUGUUUCUGUAUUCAAUAUGUAUGAAUUUUAAGUGAGUUUUCUUAUGUUAUUACAGGAAAAAAAAUUACAUAAUCUUAACCCAUUUACCUGCAUGAGUAGUGCAUUUCAAUUGGAAUUAACUAAUGCUUUGAACUAAUUAAUUAAUCUGUCUUUUUUAAAAAGUGUCCAAAAUGUGCAUGAACAAAGACAGCAUACGCCAUGCUUUACAAUACAUAUUAAACAGGAUGUUUUUCAGGAGAAGGAAGUUGCCUUUCUGAAAUAGUAGAAAACGCUAAUUAGUUUCAAUUUAUUUCUUAAAUGAGUUUUAUAAAACUGACACACAGAUUAAAAGAUUCAUGCUUUUG